CUUCCUACGGGACGCAGCAGUGAGGAAUAUUGGUCAAUGGUCGGGAGACUGAACCAGCCAAGCCGCGUGAGGGAUGAAGGUACAGAGUAUCGUAAACCUCUUUUGUCAGGGAACAAAGGCGGGGACGCGUCCCCGGAUGAGUGUACCUGAAGAAAAAGCAUCGGCUAACUCCGUGCCAGCAGCCGCGGUAAUACGGAGGAUGCGAGCGUUAUCCGGAUUUAUUGGGUUUAAAGGGUGCGCAGGCGGUCUGUUAAGUCAGCGGUCAAAGCCCGGGGCUCAACCCCGGUACUGCAUUUGAAACUGUC
RNAcentral lists this ribosomal RNA (305 nucleotides) under uncultured bacterium. RNAcentral describes it as "bacterial SSU rRNA". It matches the Rfam family "Bacterial small subunit ribosomal RNA", at positions 335 to 637 of the family's 1533-position model. The record is from RNAcentral.